GUUGACCUCGGAUCAGGUAGGGAUACCCGCUGAACUUAAGCAUAUCAAUAAGGGGGGGGAA
This 61-nucleotide ribosomal RNA is filed under the name Teratosphaeria cryptica. RNAcentral's name for it is "partial 28S ribosomal RNA". The record is from RNAcentral. Lineage: Eukaryota; Fungi; Ascomycota; Dothideomycetes; Mycosphaerellales; Teratosphaeriaceae.